Molecule: unclassified non-coding RNA, 404 nt
Filed under: soil metagenome
Description: partial contains 5.8S ribosomal RNA, internal transcribed spacer 2, and large subunit ribosomal RNA
Rfam family: 5.8S ribosomal RNA (bases 1-121)
Source: RNAcentral
GAUGAAGAACGUAGCGAAAUGCGAUAAGUAAUGUGAAUUGCAGAAUUCAGUGAAUCAUCGAAUCUUUGAACGCACCUUGCGCCCUUUGGCUAUUCCGAAGGGCAUGCCUGUUUGAGUAUCAUGAACACCUCAACUCUCAUGGUUUGCCAUGAUGAGCUUGGACUUUGGGGGUCUUGCCGGCCUAUGGGUCGGCUCCUCUCAAAUUAAUCAGCUUGCCAGUGUUUGGUGGCAUCACAGGUGUGAUAACUAUCUACUCUUGUGGUUUUCCAUCAGGUAACCUUCAGUGAUGGAGGUUCGCUGGGGCUCAUAAAUGUCUCUCCUCAGUGAGGACAGCUUUUUUGAACGUUUGAUCUCAAAUCAGGUAGGACUACCCGCUGAACUUAAGCAUAUCAAUAAGCGGAGGA